Molecule: ribosomal RNA, 491 nt
Filed under: uncultured bacterium
Lineage: Bacteria
Description: partial 16S ribosomal RNA
Rfam family: Bacterial small subunit ribosomal RNA
Source: RNAcentral
GAUGAACGCUGGCUACAGGCUUAACACAUGCAAGUCGAGGGGAAACGACGGGGAAGCUUGCUUCCCCGGGCGUCGACCGGCGCACGGGUGAGUAACGCGUAUCCAACCUGCCUCUGACUGAGGGAUAACCCGUCGAAAGUCGGCCUAAUACCUCAUGGCAUCGUCUGCGGGCAUCCAACGACGAUUAAAGAUUUCAUCGGUCAGAGAUGGGGAUGCGUCUGAUUAGCUUGUUGGCGGGGUAACGGCCCACCAAGGCGACGAUCAGUAGGGGUUCUGAGAGGAAGGUCCCCCACAUUGGAACUGAGACACGGUCCAAACUCCUACGGGAGGCAGCAGUGAGGAAUAUUGGUCAAUGGGCGAGAGCCUGAACCAGCCAAGUAGCGUGCAGGAUGACGGCCCUAUGGGUUGUAAACUGCUUUUAUGCGGGGAUAAGGUGAGGGACGUGUCCUUCAUUGCAGGUACCGCAUGAAUAAGGACCGGCUAAUUCCGUG